This 467-nucleotide ribosomal RNA is filed under the name uncultured bacterium. Its description in RNAcentral is "partial 16S ribosomal RNA". It matches the Rfam family "Bacterial small subunit ribosomal RNA", at positions 28 to 506 of the family's 1533-position model. The record is from RNAcentral.
GACGAACGCUGGCGGCGUGCUUAACACAUGCAAGUCGAACGGAAAGGCCCUGCUUUUGUGGGGUGCUCGAGUGGCGAACGGGUGAGUAACACGUGAGUAACCUGCCCUUGACUUUGGGAUAACUUCAGGAAACUGGGGCUAAUACCGGAUAGGAGCUCCUGCUGCAUGGUGGGGGUUGGAAAGUUUCGGCGGGUGGGGAUGGACUCGCGGCUUAUCAGCCUGUUGGUGGGGUAGGGGCUUACCAAGGCUUUGACGGGUAGCCGGCCUGAGAGGGUGACCGGCCACAUGGGGACAGAGAGACGGCCCAGACUCCUACGGGAGGCAGAAGUGGGGAAUAUUGCACAAUGGGCGGGAGCGUGAUGCAGAAACGCCGCGUGCGGGAUGACGGCCUUCGGGUUGUAAACCGCUUUCGCCUGUGACGAAGCGUGAGUGACGGUAAUGGGGAAAGAAGCACCGGCUACCUACGU